RNAcentral lists this ribosomal RNA (328 nucleotides) under uncultured eukaryote. RNAcentral describes it as "partial 18S ribosomal RNA". It matches the Rfam family "Eukaryotic small subunit ribosomal RNA", at positions 1470 to 1796 of the family's 1831-position model. The record is from RNAcentral.
CCCUUAGAUGUUCUGGGCCGCACGCGCGCUACACUGAUGCAUUCAACGAGCCUAUCCUUGACCGACAGGUCCGGGUAAUCUUUGAAUCUGCAUCGUGACGGGGAUAGAUUAUUGCAAUUAUUAAUCUUCAACGAGGAAUGCCUAGUAGGCGCAAGUCAUCAGCUUGCGUCGAUUACGUCCCUGCCCUUUGUACACACCGCCCGUCGCUCCUACCGAUUGAAUGGUUUAGUGAGAUCUCCGGAUUGACGCUGGCUAGGGGGCGACCCUUGGCCAGGCUGUCGAGAAACUGCUCAAACUUGAUCAUUUAGAGGAAGUAAAAGUCGUAACA